Long non-coding RNA from Equus caballus (horse), 5028 nucleotides. RefSeq lists it as uncharacterized. Lineage: Eukaryota; Metazoa; Chordata; Mammalia; Perissodactyla; Equidae. The record is from RefSeq and is a predicted model, not a curated record.
UCUCCCUCCCUCUCUUCUUCUCUCCCAACCCCCCACUCUUCUUCCCCCUUCUCCUCUCUCUCCCACCCUCCUGCUCCCCUCCCCCGGCGCUCGGCAGGGCAUGGGGUACCCGGCCGAGGGGAGGACCCCUUCCCUCCCCAGGGAGCUGGAAGCUGUGGAGCUUGAGCCCCGGCCGCUCUGCUCUCCUGUGUCCCGGCGCUUCUGAAUCCACAUCUGCAAACUGAGCAAGUGACGCCCGCCAAGCGGGUUAAAGGCGCGCAGAUGGGUUUCGAGGAGGGUCUUUCGGCAAGUUAAGCUUUUCGCAGGAGUGGCUCCUCCAUAAGGACCCGGAGAGCUAAGAGGCAAGACUGCAACUCCUUAGAGCAAAUGUGUGCACGCAGAGUUGCUCAAGAGCCUUUGGAAUGCAUUCUGUGACUCAAAAGAAAUUCCCAGGAAUCAGCACUUCAGGACUGAUGGAUCUGUCAAGAAAUGCUCUUGAACACCACGCCCAUCUUUUACUCAUAAACUUAGGCAGAUUGGACUGGGAUUUCUAAGCUUUUGGACUUGAGGCAAGUCAUUGCAAUGUCACCUUCCUCAUCUGUAGCCAAAUGCUUGCAAAGAAUUAAAUCUCAAAGAGUCAUUAACCAAACUUUUAUUGAGUGCUGGUGAGCCAGCUCGGCCCAAGGCUAUAAGCACACAAACAUAGGAAACAAGUAAUACUCCAGCCCUCAAGGAGUUUGCAAUCUCAGGAGGAGACAAGCACAAAUAAUGACAGUGACAAUGCCGUAGGCCAUGGCCAUUCACUUUGAGCAGCUGUCACUUGGCCAAGGGCAGAGAAGAGACGGGUAACAUUAAAGGGGAGAGGCUGGGACUGCAGAACCAGAGAAGAUAGGCCUGGUCUGAAGGGGGAGCCACCAUGAAGCAUGUACCGAUGGCUGACAUGCAGGGCCAGGUUACUAUGUUUCCCGAUCUUUCCAGAGAAGCCAGAAGUCUAAAUACUUCUAUGAAAUCACCUCAUUUCUAAAUGUUGUCAGCUAAUUCAAACUCACAGAAAAACACUUGCAAGACCAUCAAAACUCAGUCUGUGGGCUGCCAGUUGGUAGCUUCUGGCCUGCAACUACCCAGGUCACCAAAAACUAUUCAAAAGUGUGACAAGAACACAAGAAGAUUGAGAGACACUCCUUUAUAGCUACUAUCACUAACGGAAGCAUAAGUGCCAGGGCAGGAAUCACCUUUGGAUGCUUGACUCCGUGUGUAUGGAGGAGAGGGGCCCAGCUGUCACUCUGCAGCAAUAAACGGCUGAUUUAAUUAUCUAUUAAUGUCCUGCAAACUGUAAGUCAUUUGAUAUUUUCUCCAAGAAAACAUUUCCAAAUUGUCAGCAGUCUCCCUGCGUCCUAAUUAUUGUGUCACUAACUGUUGGUUCCAUUUCUUUUUUCCACAAAAUGGGUCCCUCAGCAUUGGCUGAUCAUAGUUAUCAUUUUUAAUGGCUAAAUUUGAUGGAUUUGCGAAGAGUUUCACCAAAGCCACUGGCCAUUUGGGCCUCAUGCAUCAGCAUGAGACAAAUGUGAGUUGAGUAACUCCAACUCAGCCAUUUGUCAACACCUCAGAGGAGAGAAUGUCAGCAGCACAUGACGGUGAUCAAACUAGUUAUGAAUUUGAAUUCAGCUGUACUCAUUCUAAGGAUUAUAACUGCAUGAUGUUAAUCAUCUAUUACCCUUAAAUUUCAUAGUUUUUCUUUAAUAAAAACUAGAUACCAUCAUGCAUUGCUAAAUGACAGGGACACAUUCUGAGAAAUGCAUUGUUAGGCAAUUUCAUCCUUGUGCAAACAUCAUAGAGUACUCAAACAAACCUAGAUGGUAUAGCCUACCACACACCUAGGCUCUAUGGUGCUAAUCUUGUGGGACCACCGUCACAUAUGUGGUCCGUCAUUGACUGAAACAUCGUUGUUCGAUGCAUGACUGUAGUCUAAUUUUUCUACCAUAAUUCUUGGCCUGCCAACAAUGGGUAGGAAAACACCAAAGGAACCAGAUAUUUAGUCUACAAUAAUAAUAAUUACACAAACAGCAAUAGCUAACAGUUAACAAGUACUUAGUAUUUGCUGGGUCCUGCUCUGAGUGCUUUGUGUGUAUUGACUCAUUUAAUCCAACAAGAACUCUGUGACAUAGUUAUUGUUAUUGUCUCCAUUUUACAGAUGAGAAACCGAGGCACAGAGAGUUUUAUUAAGGUUACAGAGCCAGGCAGUCUGCCUUGAAUCCAUGCUCUUAAAACCAAUCACCCCACCAAAAGCAGCAGCAUCUUUAUUAUCAUCAAAAAAUACUCGUGAUGAGCAUGUGAACUGCUUCACAUGCAUUCUCUCAUUUAAUUCUCACACAGACCACAUAGGAAGUACGAUUAUUCCCCAUUCUAUGGAAAAGAACGCUGAGGCAUAUACAGUCUUGUCCCCAAAGUCACAUAACUACUAAGUGCCACAGCAGGGACAAUGGAUCAGUUAGCUCUUUCCCACUGUGCAAGUUGCCUGUAAGGAAGGAUUCUGAUUCUGGCGGAGCAGCAGGCCCUAAGUCAAGUCAGCAGCAUAUCAGCUGGGAAAUUAGAAACGCCCCGGGACGCCCUCUGGAGAAAUGGCGGAUUCCAGGGUUGGGGCAGUGGGGCUGAAAAUACAAGGUGAGCUUGGGCCAUUUUAUACUGACAGGAAGUAAAGUGGUGCUCAAGACGAACAAAAGACAAAAAGGAUGAGGACAUGUCAGAAGGGCACAGGAGCAAACCUGAAAGAGCUCCCAAUGUCCCAAACUGCAACAAUUUGAGAAACAAACUUAAUAACAGUAGUAUUAGAUUAUCACUCAAAGAAAAUAUAGAGAUCUGUGAGUCCAUGUUGAUAUAAAUAAAUGAUCGGCUACAUAAAUAAUAAGUAGAAGAGACAAACUGUCCUUACAGAGAGACUCCAAAUUAUAAAUGGAGAAGGAAUGAGGGACGUUGAGGAUGGCCGUUGGAGCCCCAUGGUGACAAUUGCUGCAGGCAGGGUCCCUGAGCACUGGGGAAAUUAGUGGUGAGAAUUUACGGAGAAGCAGGAUCUUAGUAAACCCUCAAAGUGUCUACCCAAAAAUAUUAAUUAGUCACUGUGGUGGUUUUAACAUGUUCACAAGUUCUUUGAUAGUCCUUCCUCCAGAGAAGGAGCUUAAUUCCUUUUCCUUUGAGUGUGGGCUGGAUUUAGUGAUUUACUGGUAACAAACAGAAUAUGGAGAAAGGAAAUUAGUAACUUUCAAAGGUGGCAAAACAUGGCAGAUACCACCGUGACCAAGUGAUCAAGGUCAACAGCAUCUGUUAUGUGUCAUGAACCCCCUGAUACAAUGUCAUGAGAAAGGCACUUCCCCUCUGGGGGCUUCUUCCCAAAAACUCAACCCUCAUCUAGUCAUGAGAAAACCUCAGACCCAAACACAGAUGGAGGAACAUUCUACAAAAUACCUGACCAGUACUCUUCAAAAGUCAAGGUCAUGAAAAAUAAGGGGAGCCUGAGAAGCUGUCACAGAUUGGAGUAGACUAAGGAGACUUGAGAAAUAAAUAACAACAACAUGGUAUCCUGGACUGGAUUCUAGAAUAGAAAAAGGGUAUUAGUGGAAAACCUGGUGAAAUCGGAUUGCCCCUUUCUCAGUUCUGGUAAUUGUAACAUAGUAUGUAAGAUAUUAACAUUAGGGGAAGCUAGAUGAAGGGUAUCAAGAGGGGAGCGCCCAGAAAUGGGAAGACUGUGUAGGAGGCUAUUGAUAAUAUCUUGCACCUGCAGACUGCUCUGUAACCAUCUAGUGCUUCUGUGUGUUCUCUGGUCUGACUGGACCCACUCCCCUGCACUUGUAUGAUUUUUCUCUAUUGCUUUUGAAAGCCUGGAAGAGGAUUCGAGAAAACAGGUAGCCUGAUUAGGGAAUAGCAGUGGGCAUGGAAACAGCUCCAGUUGAUGGAAAACUAAGGAAAUCAGAAUACCACGUGGACUUUAGUUAAUAAUAUAUUAUUAUUGGUUCGUUAAUUGUAAGAAAGGUACUGUGCUAAUGUAGGAUAUUAAUAAUAAGGGGAAGUUGGUGUGGGGUAUAUGGGAACUCCCUGUGCUGUUUUCUCAAUUUUUCUGCAAAAUUAAAAUUAUUCUGAAAAAUAAAAUCUAAUUACCAUUAAAAAUGAGAAAUUGCCCCACCUGUGCUCCUGAGGUCGCCAGGGCUGAGAGACUCGCUGAAGGUGCAGCAGAGCUCUGCUGGUUUGGCUCCAAGGGACUUGCGAGGGUGCCCAGAGAGAGAGGAUGGGACAAGUGGCAGAAGCAGCACAGAGAUGCUGGAAGGACGUGGAGGAGAGGGCACGGUUAGUCAUAAGAAAACAGGAAAGCGCGGGGCGGUGGGAGAGCAAAUGCAGACCCUGUGCUCAGGCAGGUGGUUCUGCUUGGCUGUGGCCCCAUCGUUCGUCCUCUCACCUGCUCCUCCUCCUCCUCUUGCCUCUCAAGAGACUGCGUGAUGGUGCUAGAGACUCUGCCCCUCCGGAUUCCCUCUCCACUCUUUUCUACCCAGCUCUCUGCCCCAGGGACACCCUGCUUGUGGCUUCCCUGGGGCCUGGCUGGUGGGAGGCACAGGCAGGCGUUCUGAGAAGGGAGGAGCAUGGGGUCCUUAGGCCCCUUCCUCAUCUGUGUGCCUCGCCUGGCCACGUCCCUCUUCAGCAGCCAUAGCCCCCGCCCUAUAGCCCUCACUGGGUUCCCCUGAUUGCCCCUGCUCUUGCCCCUUCAGGCCUAGGCACGAGCAGUGGUCCUCAUGGAGGGCAGUCCUCGGGUACCGCACCAUUCCUUGUUGGUUUCCCUGAAGUCGGCCUACAUCUUGGUAAAUCCUCCCAUUAUUAAACUCGUCUCAGUUACUCAAUUGAGUGUGUCAUCUGUUUCCUGCUGGGACCACAACUAAUAGAAAAAAAUACUCAUUAUGUUUAUUGUCUGUUGUUUAUCUUCCUCUUUAGAACGUAAACUCUGUGGGGGCAGAGACUUUGUGUACUUCCUUUGUAUACUGCUGUAGCACUCAAUAAAUGUUGAAUAAA